GCGCUCACUUCCACAGCGCAUAUACUAGACCUGGAACGAUACAGAGGAAAUUGGCCCCUGCACAAGGAUGACACGCAAAUACAUGAAGCAUUUCAUAUUAAA
This is a small nuclear RNA of Neomonachus schauinslandi (Hawaiian monk seal), 102 nucleotides long. The record is from RefSeq and is a predicted model, not a curated record. Lineage: Eukaryota; Metazoa; Chordata; Mammalia; Carnivora; Phocidae.